AGCCGCGGUAAUACCCGAGGCCCAAGUGAUGGCCACUUUUAUUGGGUCUAAAGCGUCCGUAGCCUGUCUUGUAAGUUCCUGGUGAAAUCUUCCAGCAAACUGGAAGGCGUGCUGGGAAUACUGCAACGGCUUGAGACCAGGAGAGGCAAGAGGUACUUAUGGGGUAGGGGUUAAAUCCUAUAAUCCCAUAGGGACCACCUGUGGCGAAGGCGUCUUGCUGGAAUGGGUCUGACGGUGAGGGACGAAAGCGUGGGUAGCGAUCGGGAUUAGAUACCCCGGUAGUCCACGCUGUAAACGAUGCCCGUUUGGUAUAGCAGAUUUCUUGGGAGUUUGCCGUGCCGUAGCGUAGGUGUUAAACGGGCCACCUGGGGAGUACGUCCGCAAGGAUGAAACUUAAAGGAAUUGGCGGGGGAGCACACAAGGGGUGGGCACUGCGGUUCAAUUGGAUUCGACGCCGGAAAUCUCACCAGGGAAGACGGCAGGCUGAAGGUCAGUCCGAAGGGCUUACCAGACAAGCCGAGAGGUGGUGCAUGGCC
RNAcentral lists this ribosomal RNA (536 nucleotides) under uncultured archaeon. RNAcentral's name for it is "bacterial SSU rRNA". It matches the Rfam family "Archaeal small subunit ribosomal RNA", at positions 463 to 999 of the family's 1478-position model. The record is from RNAcentral.